GACGAACGCUGGCGGCGUGCUUAACACAUGCAAGUCGAACGGAAAGUCCCUGCUUUUGUGGGGUGCUCGAGUGGCGAACGGGUGAGUAACACGUGAGUAACCUGCCCUUGACUUUGGGAUAACUUCAGGAAACUGGGGCUAAUACCGGAUAGGAGCUCCUGCUGCAUGGUGGGGGUUGGAAAGUUUCGGCGGUUGGGGAUGGACUCGCGGCUUAUCAGCUUGUUGGUGGGGUAGUGGCUUACCAAGGCUUUGACGGGUAGCCGGCCUGAGAGGGUGACCGGCCACAUUGGGACUGAGAUACGGCCCAGACUCCUACGGGAGGCAGCAGUGGGGAAUAUUGCACGAUGGGCGGAAGCCUGAUGCAGCAACGCCGCGUGCGGGAUGACGGCCUUCGGGUUGUAAACCGCUUUCGCCUGUGACGAAGCGUGAGUGACGGUAAUGGGUAAAGAAGCACCGGCUAACUACGUG
Molecule: ribosomal RNA, 468 nt
Filed under: uncultured bacterium
Lineage: Bacteria
Description: partial 16S ribosomal RNA
Rfam family: Bacterial small subunit ribosomal RNA
Source: RNAcentral